RNAcentral lists this ribosomal RNA (702 nucleotides) under Triticum aestivum (bread wheat). RNAcentral's name for it is "partial small subunit ribosomal RNA". Lineage: Eukaryota; Viridiplantae; Streptophyta; Magnoliopsida; Poales; Poaceae. The record is from RNAcentral.
AUGGCUUCCGCCGUCGCUCGCAGGGGUGCCGCGCUGCCCAGCCUCCUCGAGAAGCUGCUCGCCAAGCCGUCCAAGUCGGGUGCGCCCGUGUCCUUCGCGCUCCGUCCCGCCGCCGUCACCGCCGCCCGCCGCCCGUACAACACCCUGGGCAAGGAGGGCCGCCUCUACGACGACGAGGACGACGACUCCUCCAGCGGCGAGAGCGGCAGCGAGUACGAGGACACCGACUCCGACGACCGCCGCCGCGCCCGCGACUUCUUCGUCCCCGGCUUCUCUCAGGACGUGCUCGACCAGUUCGGCGCGCACACCAGCUUCGGCCGCCUGCUUUCUGCGCUGGAGGAAGCUGCCGCUCCGACCGGUCUCUCCUCCACUGCCGGGGCGUCGCGGCUCGGACGCUGGGUGUCGAAGGUGGACGACGACGCUGUGUACCUCAAGGUGCCGAUGCCGGGGCUGGGGAAGGAGCACGUGAAGGUGUGGGCCGAGCCGAACGGCCUGGUGAUCAAGGGCGAGGGCGACAAGGAGCCCUGGGACGGCGACGACGACUCCGCGGUGCCGAGGUACAGCCGCCGCAUCAAGGUGCCCGCCGACGCGUUCAAGAUGGACAAGAUCAAGGCCGAGAUGAAGAACGGCGUGCUCAGGGUGACCGUGCCCAGGCUGAAGGAGGAGGAGCGCAAGGACGUGUUCCAGGUGAAGAUCGAGUAG